GGGUAGCUCAGUUGGUUAGAGCAUGGUGCUGAUAACACCCAAGAUCACAGGUUCGAUCUCCAUAUGGGACAGCUGCA
Non-coding RNA from Podarcis lilfordi (Lilford's wall lizard), 77 nucleotides. NCBI's taxonomy places the organism in Eukaryota, Metazoa, Chordata, Lepidosauria, Squamata, Lacertidae. The record is from the annotation of a GenBank genome assembly.